UACGAAGGGGGCUAGCGUUGUUCGGAUUUACUGGGCGUAAAGCGCGCGCAGGCGGUCCUUCAAGUCAGGGGUGAAAGCCCAGAGCUCAACUCUGGAACUGCCUUUGAGACUGUAGGACUUGGGUAUGGGAGAGGUGAGUGGAAUUCCGAGUGUAGAGGUGAAAUUCGUAGAUAUUCGGAAGAACACCAGUGGUGAAGGCGGCUCACUGGCCCAUUACCGACGCUCAGGCGCGAUAGCGUGGGGAGCAAACAGG
This 253-nucleotide ribosomal RNA is filed under the name uncultured bacterium. RNAcentral describes it as "partial 16S ribosomal RNA". It matches the Rfam family "Bacterial small subunit ribosomal RNA", at positions 524 to 776 of the family's 1533-position model. The record is from RNAcentral.